AUCAAUAAUCAGGGUGAUGUGUGACGUAACUCGACAGUCUAUCAGCGCGAAACAUUUUGACAGACCGAAUCGGAAUGAAUCCACUACUGCACUUUUUUUCUUAGAGGAGCAUUGAUGUUGAUAUUAAUUGAGCAGUUAUUUAAUGACGAGUGUGUGAAGAGAGAUUCCAAGUGGUUUUUGUUGGUGAAUAUGGGCAUGGCUAGACUUUCGUUUUCCACGCGUGCAAGGACUCGAGUCUCAUGGAUAUUGAAGGCACUUAUUUCACUUGAGACACGGGCAGUAGACGUUGACAGAGUGAAUGUGAAGGUAUGCCUAGAAGUAAUAGAACGUGUGGGCUGGGUUUCUGUGAACUGGCAUAAUGCACCGGAUGACAUAGGUGUAUAUCAGAAAUUUGUGACUGUUGUUCAGUGUGCGGUAAUUGUUCAAGGAAUGUGUAUUUUUGUGUCCGGUCACAUACACCUGGAGAUUAUCAGGGACAUUACCAUCUGUCAUUUUUGUACAAGAGCUUUGCAGACGCUAGUGUUCGUCAAUCGAGGCGAGCAUCCAACGGAACCUCAAUCUAUUGGAGCAUAAAACCCGCCAGUCCGUGCUCUCAGUAGGAACUGAGCUGUCCAGCAAGUAGGACGCAUUUGAUAGAGCACGCUUCAACCAGAAUGUUGCCAUCAACUAUAGAAUAACUUUAUUGUAGACACUUUGGCAUUGUAAAUGUUGCCCGUGCUUGUUCUGAGGUGCUACCUUGCAGUGUGUACCAAGUACACGUGUACCAAGUAACCACAGUAUCGAAACCAAACACUGGGGAGCAUCGACAUGUGUGAUAUCCACGUAUGGCAGCAGUCAUCAGUGAAGUGGAUCCGUGUUUAAGCCAGAAACACUUUGAGGAACUUUACGCUCAACGCCAUAAAACCGGGACCAGAAACUUAAAUAUUUGUAUACCAAAUAAAUAUGUAAAUUGU
Ostrea edulis (European flat oyster) is the source of this 953-nucleotide long non-coding RNA. RefSeq lists it as uncharacterized. NCBI's taxonomy places the organism in Eukaryota, Metazoa, Mollusca, Bivalvia, Ostreida, Ostreidae. The transcript is spliced from 3 exons. The record is from RefSeq and is a predicted model, not a curated record.